This is a long non-coding RNA of Haliotis rubra (blacklip abalone), 825 nucleotides long. RefSeq lists it as uncharacterized. NCBI's taxonomy places the organism in Eukaryota, Metazoa, Mollusca, Gastropoda, Lepetellida, Haliotidae. The transcript has 5 exons. The record is from RefSeq and is a predicted model, not a curated record.
GACUUGAAUUACAAGCGCAGUCUGGGCACGGGAGUACACUGCACCGACACUGAUACUGAUAACAUUCAGCCUUGGCCGAGCAGCCUUGAAUUACAAGCGCAGUCUGGGCACGGGAGUACACUGCACCGACACUGAUAACAUUCAGCCUGAAACCAGAUAAGUGGAUCACAUUCCCUCUGAACCAGACAGCUUGCACAAAGAUAUGCAAAUCGGAGCAAAGGGUGACUAAAUUACAGUGAGAGACACUGACAUGCACACAUCUAGUCUAAGCCAGCAGUAGACUAAGCAAGGCGUAUAGCAACAGGCUGCUGUUUACUGUUCCCGACCGUAUGGUGUGUCGCUCCAACACAAUCUACAAGGACAGGAGGGGAACCGCUUUGACACGCCAGAAAUACUAUACAAAGAAGAUGCAAACCGUACUCACGUUUUGAGGAAGAAAAAACGUUCAAGAAUAAAGGACAAAACGUUGGAUGUCAGUUGGAAAAUAAAACCAUGAAGCACCAAAGAAAGGACAUUGAUCGCGGAUAUGCAUGGGUAGUUUGUCUUGCUUGCUUUGCUAUUGAGGUGCUCUGUAGCGCUCUAAACUCUUCUGUUGGGGUCAUUACACCGGCCAUUCUGGAAGAGGUUGAUGGCGAUUUGGUCAAAGUAUCGUGGGUAGGGUCAACAUUGCUUGGAACGUUCUCAAUGUGCGGACCAUUGGCAGGAAUUGUUCAAAACAGAAUUGGAAACAGAUGGACAGGUAUUCUGGGUGGUAUACUGAUGUUACUUGGACUGACAGCUGCAUCCUUUUGUAGGACUGUCACUGGUUUGAUCCUUACGGUCGGA